AGAGUUUGAUCCUGGCUCAGAUUGAACGCUGGCGGCAUGCCUUACACAUGCAAGUCGAACGGCAGCACGAGAGCUUGCUCUUGGUGGCGAGUGGCGAACGGGUGAGUAAUAUAUCGGAACGUACCCUAGAGUGGGGGAUAACGUAGCGAAAGUUACGCUAAUACCGCAUACGAUCUACGGAUGAAAGUGGGGGAUCGCAAGACCUCAUGCUCAUGGAGCGGCCGAUAUCUGAUUAGCUAGUUGGUGGGGUAAAAGCUCACCAAGGCGACGAUCAGUAGCUGGUCUGAGAGGACGACCAGCCACACUGGAACUGAGACACGGUCCAGACUCCUACGGGAGGCAGCAGUGGGGAAUUUUGGACAAUGGGCGCAAGCCUGAUCCAGCAAUGCCGCGUGAGUGAAGAAGGCCUUCGGGUUGUAAAGCUCUUUUGUCAGGGAAGAAACGGUGGACUCUAAUACAGAUCACUAAUGACGGUACCUGAAGAAUAAGCACCGGCUAACUACGUGCCAGCAGCCGCGGUAAUACGUAGGGUGCAAGCGUUAAUCGGAAUUACUGGGCGUAAAGCGUGCGCAGGCGGUUGUGCAAGACAGAUGUGAAAUCCCCGGGCUCAACCUGGGAAUUGCAUUUGUGACUGCACGGCUAGAGUGUGUCAGAGGGGGGUAGAAUUCCACGUGUAGCAGUGAAAUGCGUAGAGAUGUGGAGGAAUACCGAUGGCGAAGGCAGCCCCCUGGGAUAACACUGACGCUCAUGCACGAAAGCGUGGGGAGCAAACAGGAUUAGAUACCCUGGUAGUCCACGCCCUAAACGAUGUCUACUAGUUGUCGGGUCUUAAUUGACUUGGUAACGCAGCUAACGCGUGAAGUAGACCGCCUGGGGAGUACGGUCGCAAGAUUAAAACUCAAAGGAAUUGACGGGGACCCGCACAAGCGGUGGAUGAUGUGGAUUAAUUCGAUGCAACGCGAAAAACCUUACCUACCCUUGACAUGUCUGGAAUCCUUGAGAGAUCAGGGAGUGCUCGAAAGAGAAUCAGAACACAGGUGCUGCAUGGCUGUCGUCAGCUCGUGUCGUGAGAUGUUGGGUUAAGUCCCGCAACGAGCGCAACCCUUGUCAUUAGUUGCUACGAAAGGGCACUCUAAUGAGACUGCCGGUGACAAACCGGAGGAAGGUGGGGAUGACGUCAAGUCCUCAUGGCCCUUAUGGGUAGGGCUUCACACGUCAUACAAUGGUACAUACAGAGGGCCGCCAACCCGCGAGGGAGAGCUAAUCCCAGAAAGUGUAUCGUAGUCCGGAUUGUAGUCUGCAACUCGACUACAUGAAGUUGGAAUCGCUAGUAAUCGCGGAUCAGCAUGUCGCGGUGAAUACGUUCCCGGGUCUUGUACACACCGCCCGUCACACCAUGGGAGCGGGUUUCACCAGAAGUGGGUAGCCUAACCGCAAGGAGGGCGCUCACCACGGUGGGAUUCGUGACUGGGGUGAAGUCGUAACAAGGUA
Molecule: ribosomal RNA, 1491 nt
Filed under: metagenome
Description: bacterial SSU rRNA
Rfam family: Bacterial small subunit ribosomal RNA
Source: RNAcentral